This 804-nucleotide ribosomal RNA is filed under the name uncultured Staphylococcus sp. RNAcentral's name for it is "bacterial SSU rRNA". It matches the Rfam family "Bacterial small subunit ribosomal RNA", at positions 64 to 849 of the family's 1533-position model. Lineage: Bacteria; Bacillati; Bacillota; Bacilli; Caryophanales; Staphylococcaceae. The record is from RNAcentral.
GAGCGAACGGACGAGAAGCUUGCUUCUCUGAUGUUAGCGGCGGACGGGUGAGUAACACGUGGAUAACCUACCUAUAAGACUGGGAUAACUUCGGGAAACCGGAGCUAAUACCGGAUAAUAUUUUGAACCGCAUGGUUCAAAAGUGAAAGACGGUCUUGCUGUCACUUAUAGAUGGAUCCGCGCUGCAUUAGCUAGUUGGUAAGGUAACGGCUUACCAAGGCAACGAUGCAUAGCCGACCUGAGAGGGUGAUCGGCCACACUGGAACUGAGACACGGUCCAGACUCCUACGGGAGGCAGCAGUAGGGAAUCUUCCGCAAUGGGCGAAAGCCUGACGGAGCAACGCCGCGUGAGUGAUGAAGGUCUUCGGAUCGUAAAACUCUGUUAUUAGGGAAGAACAUAUGUGUAAGUAACUGUGCACAUCUUGACGGUACCUAAUCAGAAAGCCACGGCUAACUACGUGCCAGCAGCCGCGGUAAUACGUAGGUGGCAAGCGUUAUCCGGAAUUAUUGGGCGUAAAGCGCGCGUAGGCGGUUUUUUAAGUCUGAUGUGAAAGCCCACGGCUCAACCGUGGAGGGUCAUUGGAAACUGGAAAACUUGAGUGCAGAAGAGGAAAGUGGAAUUCCAUGUGUAGCGGUGAAAUGCGCAGAGAUAUGGAGGAACACCAGUGGCGAAGGCGACUUUCUGGUCUGUAACUGACGCUGAUGUGCGAAAGCGUGGGGAUCAAACAGGAUUAGAUACCCUGGUAGUCCACGCCGUAAACGAUGAGUGCUAAGUGUUAGGGGGUUUCCGCCCCUUAGUGCUGC